AAGAGGGAGUUCAACCAGCAGGGACUGCUAACUCCUGCAUCUGAGUCUAAAACCUCAGCCCUCUUA
Molecule: transfer RNA, 66 nt
Filed under: Cuculus canorus (common cuckoo)
Lineage: Eukaryota; Metazoa; Chordata; Aves; Cuculiformes; Cuculidae
Also listed under: 1 other name
Description: tRNA-Ser
Source: RNAcentral